Molecule: transfer RNA, 76 nt
Filed under: Deltaproteobacteria bacterium
Lineage: Bacteria; Pseudomonadati; Myxococcota; Myxococcia
Description: tRNA-Pro
Rfam family: tRNA
About the family: Transfer RNA (tRNA) molecules are approximately 80 nucleotides in length. Their secondary structure includes four short double-helical elements and three loops (D, anti-codon, and T loops).
Source: RNAcentral
CGGGGUGUAGCGCAGUUGGCAGCGCGCAGCGUUUGGGACGCUGAGGCCGGCGGUUCAAGUCCGCCCACCCCGACCA